CGUCUCUGAUGUGUUGGCUCUAAAGAAACAUAUCAGCAAAGUGGAUCAAGAAAAUGCAUCCGUAGUGCUCUUUGGUCCACUUCGCUGAAUCUGCGUGGCCACUAACAAGCACAACAAUUGCAAGGACUCUGUCCAAGAUCGCCUGCUCCAGACGCAUACGAAAGUGUAAGUGUGGAGCUUGGCCCCUUCUCUAUGCUCACAGUAUACGGUUAUAUCAGCUUGUAUAAUUCUUCUAAAGAUGCCUGACAACCAAGAAGGAUCUGCAUGUGUCGGCUAUUCGUUGUUCUCUUCAAUUUGAUAAAUUCCAUUGGUUAAAAUGGAAGCUAAAAACAAUUCACUUUUCAAUAAGUGACAUCAGACUUUCCUCUCAAUGUACGUACAGUUGCUGCUGCAUACGGUAGCAUGUUCUAUAGAGGCCCAUCCAACUAGAGGCUAGAAUUUCUCAGUACUAGUAAAUAAAACUUGAUGACAUUGCCAUCAACUAGAGAAACAACAAGUGAGCAUUUGAAUAGAGAGAAUCUCUCACGGUGAAGUUUAAAUAGAGAGAUCAAUACAAGUUCUAUUUCUGACGCGGGCACAUCCACAAAGACUCCCUCCAUCUUGUAUGUAACAUAGUACAUUCUAACAUUUAAAAUUUGUAGUCAAAUAAUAUAAGACAUUCUAGAGGACAAAACCCAGAUUUGCAUUAAAUAAUUUUUAUUAAUCAGGAAAUAAAAUAAGGAUACAAGCGUCUUUUAUAUUCUCUCUUAGUGUGUCUUAAAAUUCUUAGAAUGCACAAUAUUAUAGGAUAGAGGGAGUAGCUAGCUCUUACGGUCAACUCAUAACAAAAAAAUAAACAUAAUUUUUUAUCAAAUUUGGUUGCCCUCUUGCCUCCCAGAGACGUCGUAUGCUACACUGAUAUAAAACUACCACAUCAUAGUUGGUCUUCAGCAUGAGAAGAAUUAUUGGUACGAGGAAAGGAAACGAUUUAGGCAUCUAGGCAUCUGCAUCCAAUCCAGAUUUUCUAUAUCACCUAUUAGCUCUAAAUCACCACUAGUGCACAGUGAUACUUCAGACAACCUGACUGACGGCACUAUUACGAGUUGUGAACUUGUCAUUGAAGUAAACAAUUGUGAUUAUUCAUGAGUUUUGAAGCUUGUAAACUUCUGUUUCUAAAUGGUACUAUUUAUGGAAAGUCAAAAUGAGACCCUUAUCAAGAAUACUAUGUUCAAACCUUUUUUUAUGAAUAAAACCUGCAUUCAACUGUAAAAAAAUGGUACUGCCAGCAUGUAUUGAGAACAGAGACCACAUCCACUGUAUAUCACACGCACCACAACAACCCCUAUGCCUAUCACAAGCUAGGAUGCCCCGUCUUCUCGACUGCUUGCGGACCACAGGCAUCGGAGAUAUCUAGCUGGGGUCCCUGCAACCGUCAGUUCAACUUUGGUGACCUUAGGGGAUGACAUCAUCACUGGAGAAGUGCCAAGGAGCUUGCCACAGGACUCUGUGCAAGCAUGCCAGAGAGAGAUCUAGCAUGAGACAGUGCUGCCUCUUUCAUUCCGGAGACCACCCAGCCCUAAAAACCGAAUACUAUACAUUCUACGGGUAAUUUCAUCAACUUUCUAUUGAAAGAUAUAGGAGGCAAAGAUGUGGAGUGGUUGUGUCUUUUGACAAGAAGGGCGCUGCACUUUAAAACAGGGGUGUGGUUGCUGGUCGUGGUAGAACUGUAUUUCUCAUUGAUUCUUGAUGGUAUCUGGGCGUACAAAAACACUAUUGCACAGAACAUAUUUAGAGGCAGUGGAAAUUUUUUUUAGAUAAUGAAUAAAAAUAUCCGGCCUCUACAUCCGGAGAUGUACACAGCCAAUUAUUAUAAAAUACCGAAGCAAAAAAGAAAGAGCAGUCUCUGGCCUUG
Molecule: long non-coding RNA, 1891 nt
Filed under: Sorghum bicolor (sorghum)
Lineage: Eukaryota; Viridiplantae; Streptophyta; Magnoliopsida; Poales; Poaceae
Description: long non-coding RNA (SBIC_LNC014967)
Source: RNAcentral